CGAGAGUCUUUGUCAUGUUGGAAUCCUGAUUGCAUUGGUUUUAAUCUCAUUGAGUGUCUUUUGUGUGAUAUAUGCGAGAAUGAGAGGCCUGGUUCUGUUCUAGUUUUUAUGACUGGAUGGGAUGACAUUAGUUCUCUGAAGGAUAAGCUCCUAUCACAUCCUAUUUUAGGAGAUCCAGGUCGAGUGUCGUUGCUCACUUGCCAUGGUUCUAUGGCUAAUU
RNAcentral lists this unclassified non-coding RNA (220 nucleotides) under Hevea brasiliensis (rubber tree). The record is from RNAcentral. Lineage: Eukaryota; Viridiplantae; Streptophyta; Magnoliopsida; Malpighiales; Euphorbiaceae.